AUUGAACGCUGGCGGCAGGCCUAACACAUGCAAGUCGAGCGGAUGAAGGGAGCUUGCUCCUGGAUUCAGCGGCGGACGGGUGAGUAAUGCCUAGGAAUCUGCCUGGUAGCGGGGGAUAACGUCCGGAAACGGGCGCUAAUACCGCAUACGUCCUGAGGGAGAAAGUGGGGGAUCUUCGGACCUCACGCUAUCAGAUGAGCCUAGGUCGGAUUAGCUAGUUGGUGGGGUAAAGGCCUACCAAGGCGACGAUCCGUAACUGGUCUGAGAGGAUGAUCAGUCACACUGGAACUGAGACACGGUCCAGACUCCUACGGGAGGCAGCAGUGGGGAAUAUUGGACGAUGGGCAAAAGCCUGAUCCAGCCAUACCGCGUGUGUGAAGAAGGUCUUCGGAUUGUAAAGCACUUUAAGUUGGGAGGAAGGGCAGUAAGUUAAUACCUUGCUGUUUUGACGUUACCAACAGAAUAAGCACCGGCUAACUUCGUG
This 484-nucleotide ribosomal RNA is filed under the name uncultured bacterium. RNAcentral's name for it is "partial 16S ribosomal RNA". It matches the Rfam family "Bacterial small subunit ribosomal RNA", at positions 30 to 507 of the family's 1533-position model. The record is from RNAcentral.